RNAcentral lists this ribosomal RNA (158 nucleotides) under Sordariomycetidae sp. RNAcentral describes it as "partial large subunit ribosomal RNA". It matches the Rfam family "Eukaryotic large subunit ribosomal RNA", at positions 99 to 261 of the family's 3401-position model. The record is from RNAcentral. Lineage: Eukaryota; Fungi; Ascomycota; Sordariomycetes.
CGGCAACAGCUCAAAUUUGAAAUCCGGCCUUGUGCCCGAGUUGUAAUUUGCAGAGGAUGCUUUUGGCGCGGUGCCUCCUAAGUUCCCUGGAACGGGACGCCACAGAGGGUGAGAGCCCCGUACAGUUGGACGCCAAGCCUGUGUAAAGCUCCUUCGAC